GAAUAUAAUCGAGUGUGAGUGCGAGAGAGCAAGAGCGAAUGGGAGCCACAAUAGUGUCCUUAUGUGAGCGGCCGUUGCCGUUGCUGUUGCCCCCACCCUCACUCCUGCACUCUCCAGCUCCUUUUUACUUUUGCGGA
RNAcentral lists this microRNA precursor (137 nucleotides) under Drosophila guanche. Lineage: Eukaryota; Metazoa; Arthropoda; Insecta; Diptera; Drosophilidae. The record is from RNAcentral.